RNAcentral lists this long non-coding RNA (287 nucleotides) under Pan troglodytes (chimpanzee). Its description in RNAcentral is "long non-coding RNA NONPTRT005738". The record is from RNAcentral. Lineage: Eukaryota; Metazoa; Chordata; Mammalia; Primates; Hominidae.
CCACACACUCUGGUGCUCUGUGGGGACCACCUGUCACUCCAAGCUGGAUGCAGCCGUGGACGGCACCCGGUGUGGGGAGAAUAAGUGGUGUCUCAAUGGGGAGUGCGUACCUGUGGGCUUCCGGCCCGAGGCUGUGGAUGGUGGCUGGUCUGGCUGGAGCGCCUGGUCCAUCUGCUCACGGAGCUGUGGCGUGGGCGUACAGAGCGCCGAGCGGCAGUGCACGCAGCCUACGUGAGUGUGGGGCCCAGGGUGCCCUUGGGCAAUGGGACAGAGGGACCCAAACAGUC